Molecule: ribosomal RNA, 571 nt
Filed under: uncultured fungus
Lineage: Eukaryota; Fungi
Description: eukaryotic LSU rRNA
Rfam family: 5.8S ribosomal RNA (bases 196-349)
Source: RNAcentral
UCCGUAGGUGAACCUGCGGAGGGAUCAUUACACAAAUAUGAAGGCGGGCUGGAACCUCCCGGGGUUACAGCCUUGCUGAAUUAUUCACCCUUGUCUUUUGCGUACUUCUUGUUUCCUUGGUGGGUUCGCCCACCACUAGGACAAACAUAAACCUUUUGUAAUUGCAAUCAGCGUCAGUAACAAAUUAAUAAUUACAACUUUCAACAACGGAUCUCUUGGUUCUGGCAUCGAUGAAGAACGCAGCGAAAUGCGAUAAGUAGUGUGAAUUGCAGAAUUCAGUGAAUCAUCGAAUCUUUGAACGCACAUUGCGCCCUUUGGUAUUCCAAAGGGCAUGCCUGUUCGAGCGUCAUUUGUACCCUCAAGCUUUGCUUGGUGCUGGGCGUCUUGUCUCUAGCUUUGCUGGAGACUCGCCUUAAAGUAAUUGGCAGCCGGCCUACUGGUUUCGGAGCGCAGCACAAGUCGCACUCUCUAUCAGCAAAGGUCUAGCAUCCAUUAAGCCUUUUUUUCAACUUUUGACCUCGGAUCAGGUAGGGAUACCCGCUGAACUUAAGCAUAUCAAUAAGCGGAGGAA